GGAUUGUGGCUCGAUGGUGGAGAGCUUGCCUAGCAUGUGUGAGGUCCUGGGUUCAAUCCUCAGCACCA
RNAcentral lists this transfer RNA (68 nucleotides) under Marmota monax (woodchuck). RNAcentral describes it as "tRNA.Ala". Lineage: Eukaryota; Metazoa; Chordata; Mammalia; Rodentia; Sciuridae. The record is from RNAcentral.